Molecule: ribosomal RNA, 252 nt
Filed under: uncultured bacterium
Lineage: Bacteria
Description: partial 16S ribosomal RNA
Rfam family: Bacterial small subunit ribosomal RNA
Source: RNAcentral
UACAGAGGUCUCAAGCGUUGUUCGGAUUCAUUGGGCGUAAAGGGUGCGUAGCGGCGCCGUAAGUCAGGUGUGAAAUUUCGGAGCUUAACUCCGAAACUGCAUUUGAUACUGCGGUGCUUGAGGACUGGAGAGGAGACUGGAAUUUACGGUGUAGCAGUGAAAUGCGUAGAGAUCGUAAGGAAGACCAGUGGCGAAGGCGGGUCUCUGGACAGUUCCUGACGCUGAGGCACGAAGGCCAGGGGAGCAAACGGG